AGGCCUCGAACAUCCAGAGUCACAUCAGGACAGCACAGCAGAUCCCACAAAACACAUUACAUCUGUAAAUGUUCUUUACCAGCCCUCGGAUGUUUUGAUCAACAAACAACAGAAACAGGGAAAACCAGAAGAAAAGAAGAAUGUUUAUCACCUGUACAGCACGAUCCCUGAAAACCAGUUCACUCAAAUGCAGACGAUCAAUCCUACAGUUUAGUGAAGAUGUCUUUUUCAUUAUGUACAUGCAAUGAAGUAUCUUUACUUGCAGACAAACAAAUUUUAAUUUUC
Long non-coding RNA from Carassius gibelio (silver crucian carp), 285 nucleotides. RefSeq lists it as uncharacterized. The record is from RefSeq and is a predicted model, not a curated record. NCBI's taxonomy places the organism in Eukaryota, Metazoa, Chordata, Actinopteri, Cypriniformes, Cyprinidae. The transcript has 3 exons.